Molecule: long non-coding RNA, 310 nt
Organism: Dermochelys coriacea (leatherback sea turtle)
Lineage: Eukaryota; Metazoa; Chordata; Testudines; Dermochelyidae
Exons: 3
Source: RefSeq, a predicted model, not a curated record
CUCAUGGCAAACUUGGACUUUGGCAGUAAUAAGCUCUGGCCCUCCCCGGUGCUUUGUGUUCUUGUGUCAAUACUGCCCCCGAGCCAUCUGUGUCCAAUAUGAAAGGGGAUUUGAAACCUGGGUAGGCCCAGACAGGAGCAGUCACAGGAGCCUUUGUCCAAAUCUGAGAAUGCUACGUCACAUUCUGCUGGCCACUGGAACAUCUCACCCAGCCUGCGCAAUGGAUUUGCAACACUGGCACAGGCACGGACAAAUCUUCUGCAAUAGAAGCAGAGCCCUACAAUGGGCUUUGGACCACUUAAACACCUCG